RNAcentral lists this ribosomal RNA (253 nucleotides) under uncultured bacterium. Its description in RNAcentral is "partial 16S ribosomal RNA". It matches the Rfam family "Bacterial small subunit ribosomal RNA", at positions 524 to 776 of the family's 1533-position model. The record is from RNAcentral.
UACGUAGGGGGCAAGCGUUGUCCGGAUUUAUUGGGCGUAAAGAGCGUGUAGGCGGCCAGGUAAGUCAGCUGUGAAAACUCGAGGCUCAACCUCGAGACGUCGGUUGAAACCAUCUGGCUAGAGUCCGGAAGAGGAGAGUGGAAUUCCUGGUGUAGCGGUGAAAUGCGCAGAUAUCAGGAAGAACACCCGUGGCGAAGGCGGCUCUCUGGGACGGUACUGACGCUGAGACGCGAAAGCGUGGGGAGCGAACAGG